Molecule: ribosomal RNA, 2900 nt
Filed under: Klebsiella pneumoniae
Lineage: Bacteria; Pseudomonadati; Pseudomonadota; Gammaproteobacteria; Enterobacterales; Enterobacteriaceae
Description: 23S ribosomal RNA
Rfam family: Bacterial large subunit ribosomal RNA
Source: RNAcentral
UUAAGCGACUAAGCGUACACGGUGGAUGCCCUGGCAGUCAGAGGCGAUGAAGGACGUGCUAAUCUGCGAAAAGCGUCGGUAAGGUGAUAUGAACCGUUAUAACCGGCGAUGUCCGAAUGGGGAAACCCAGUGUGAUUCGUCACACUAUCGUUAACUGAAUACAUAGGUUAACGAGGCGAACCGGGGGAACUGAAACAUCUAAGUACCCCGAGGAAAAGAAAUCAACCGAGAUUCCCCCAGUAGCGGCGAGCGAACGGGGAGCAGCCCAGAGUCUGAAUCAGCUUGUGUGUUAGUGGAACGGUCUGGAAAGUCCGACGGUACAGGGUGAUAGUCCCGUACACCAAAAUGCACAGGNUGUGAACUCGAAGAGUAGGGCGGGACACGUGGUAUCCUGUCUGAAUAUGGGGGGACCAUCCUCCAAGGCUAAAUACUCCUGACUGACCGAUAGUGAACCAGUACCGUGAGGGAAAGGCGAAAAGAACCCCGGCGAGGGGAGUGAAAAAGAACCUGAAACCGUGUACGUACAAGCAGUGGGAGCACCUUCGGGUGUGACUGCGUACCUUUUGUAUAAUGGGUCAGCGACUUAUAUUCUGUAGCAAGGUUAACCGUAUAGGGGAGCCGCAGGGAAACCGAGUCUUAACUGGGCGUUAAGUUGCAGGGUAUAGACCCGAAACCCGGUGAUCUAGCCAUGGGCAGGUUGAAGGUUGGGUAACACUAACUGGAGGACCGAACCGACUAAUGUUGAAAAAUUAGCGGAUGACUUGUGGCUGGGGGUGAAAGGCCAAUCAAACCGGGAGAUAGCUGGUUCUCCCCGAAAGCUAUUUAGGUAGCGCCUCGUGAAUUCAUCUUCGGGGGUAGAGCACUGUUUCGGCUAGGGGGUCAUCCCGACUUACCAACCCGAUGCAAACUACGAAUACCAAAGAAUGUUAUCACGGGAGACACACGGCGGGUGCUAACGUCCGUCGUGAAGAGGGAAACAACCCAGACCGCCAGCUAAGGUCCCAAAGUCAUGGUUAAGUGGGAAACGAUGUGGGAAGGCACAGACAGCCAGGAUGUUGGCUUAGAAGCAGCCAUCAUUUAAAGAAAGCGUAAUAGCUCACUGGUCGAGUCGGCCUGCGCGGAAGAUGUAACGGGGCUAAACCAUGCACCGAAGCUGCGGCAGCGACACUAUGUGUUGUUGGGUAGGGGAGCGUUCUGUAAGCCUGCGAAGGUGACCUGUGAGGGUUGCUGGAGGUAUCAGAAGUGCGAAUGCUGACAUAAGUAACGAUAAAGCGGGUGAAAAGCCCGCUCGCCGGAAGACCAAGGGUUCCUGUCCAACGUUAAUCGGGGCAGGGUGAGUCGACCCCUAAGGCGAGGCCGAAAGGCGUAGUCGAUGGGAAACAGGUUAAUAUUCCUGUACUUGGUGUUACUGCGAAGGGGGGACGGAGAAGGCUAUGUUAGCCGGGCGACGGUUGUCCCGGUUUAAGCAUGUAGGCUGGUUGUCCAGGCAAAUCCGGAUAAUCAAGGCUGAGGUGUGAUGACGAGGCACUACGGUGCUGAAGUAACAAAUGCCCUGCUUCCAGGAAAAGCCUCUAAGCAUCAGGUAACAUCAAAUCGUACCCCAAACCGACACAGGUGGUCAGGUAGAGAAUACCAAGGCGCUUGAGAGAACUCGGGUGAAGGAACUAGGCAAAAUGGUGCCGUAACUUCGGGAGAAGGCACGCUGGUGUGUAGGUGAAGCCCCUGCGGGUGGAGCUGAGACCAGUCGAAGAUACCAGCUGGCUGCAACUGUUUAUUAAAAACACAGCACUGUGCAAACACGAAAGUGGACGUAUACGGUGUGACGCCUGCCCGGUGCCGGAAGGUUAAUUGAUGGGGUUAUCCGUAAGGAGAAGCUCUUGAUCGAAGCCCCGGUAAACGGCGGCCGUAACUAUAACGGUCCUAAGGUAGCGAAAUUCCUUGUCGGGUAAGUUCCGACCUGCACGAAUGGCGUAAUGAUGGCCAGGCUGUCUCCACCCGAGACUCAGUGAAAUUGAACUCGCUGUGAAGAUGCAGUGUACCCGCGGCAAGACGGAAAGACCCCGUGAACCUUUACUAUAGCUUGACACUGAACAUUGAGCCUUGAUGUGUAGGAUAGGUGGGAGGCUUUGAAGCGUGGACGCCAGUCUGCGUGGAGCCAACCUUGAAAUACCACCCUUUAAUGUUUGAUGUUCUAACGUUGGCCCCUUACCGGGGUUGCGGACAGUGUCUGGUGGGUAGUUUGACUGGGGCGGUCUCCUCCCAAAGCGUAACGGAGGAGCACGAAGGUUAGCUAAUCCUGGUCGGACAUCAGGAGGUUAGUGCAAUGGCAUAAGCUAGCUUGACUGCGAGCGUGACGGCGCGAGCAGGUGCGAAAGCAGGUCAUAGUGAUCCGGUGGUUCUGAAUGGAAGGGCCAUCGCUCAACGGAUAAAAGGUACUCCGGGGAUAACAGGCUGAUACCGCCCAAGAGUUCAUAUCGACGGCGGUGUUUGGCACCUCGAUGUCGGCUCAUCACAUCCUGGGGCUGAAGUAGGUCCCAAGGGUAUGGCUGUUCGCCAUUUAAAGUGGUACGCGAGCUGGGUUUAGAACGUCGUGAGACAGUUCGGUCCCUAUCUGCCGUGGGCGCUGGAGAAUUGAGGGGGGCUGCUCCUAGUACGAGAGGACCGGAGUGGACGCAUCACUGGUGUUCGGGUUGUCAUGCCAAUGGCACUGCCCGGUAGCUAAAUGCGGAAGAGAUAAGUGCUGAAAGCAUCUAAGCACGAAACUUGCCCCGAGAUGAGUUCUCCCUGAGACUUUAAGUCUCCUGAAGGAACGUUGAAGACGACGACGUUGAUAGGCCGGGUGUGUAAGCGCAGCGAUGCGUUGAGCUAACCGGUACUAAUGAACCGUGAGGCUUAACCUU